CCUAAAAAGAGGGAGGCGGGUCUAACACAUGCAAGUCGAGCGGAUGAAGGGAGCUUGCUCCUGGAUUCAGCGGCGGACGGGUGAGUAAUGCCUAGGAAUCUGCCUGGUAGUGGGGGAUAACGUCCGGAAACGGGCGCUAAUACCGCAUACGUCCUGAGGGAGAAAGUGGGGGAUCUUCGGACCUCACGCUAUCAGAUGAGCCUAGGUCGGAUUAGCUAGUUGGUGGGGUAAAGGCCUACCAAGGCGACGAUCCGUAACUGGUCUGAGAGGAUGAUCAGUCACACUGGAACUGAGACACGGUCCAGACUCCUACGGGAGGCAGCAGUGGGGAAUAUUGGACAAUGGGCGAAAGCCUGAUCCAGCCAUGCCGCGUGUGUGAAGAAGGUCUUCGGAUUGUAAAGCACUUUAAGUUGGGAGGAAGGGCAGUAAGUUAAUACCUUGCUGUUUUGACGUUACCAACAGAAUAAGCACCGGCUAACUUCGUGCCAGCAGCCGCGGUAAUACGAAGGGUGCAAGCGUUAAUCGGAAUUACUGGGCGUAAAGCGCGCGUAGGUGGUUCAGCAAGUUGGAUGUGAAAUCCCCGGGCUCAACCUGGGAACUGCAUCCAAAACUACUGAGCUAGAGUACGGUAGAGGGUGGUGGAAUUUCCUGUGUAGCGGUGAAAUGCGUAGAUAUAGGAAGGAACACCAGUGGCGAAGGCGACCACCUGGACUGAUACUGACACUGAGGUGCGAAAGCGUGGGGAGCAAACAGGAUUAGAUACCCUGGUAGUCCACGCCGUAAACGAUGUCGACUAGCCGUUGGGAUCCUUGAGAUCUUAGUGGCGCAGCUAACGCGAUAAGUCGACCCGCCUGGGGAGUA
RNAcentral lists this ribosomal RNA (861 nucleotides) under Pseudomonadales bacterium TS52(2010). Its description in RNAcentral is "bacterial SSU rRNA". It matches the Rfam family "Bacterial small subunit ribosomal RNA", at positions 23 to 882 of the family's 1533-position model. The record is from RNAcentral. Lineage: Bacteria; Pseudomonadati; Pseudomonadota; Gammaproteobacteria; Pseudomonadales.